UGCCAGCAGCCGCGGUAAUACAGAGGGUGCAAACGUUGUUCGGAAUCAUUGGGUUUAAAGGGUGCGUAGGCGGCUUGGAAGGUGGGGUGUGAAAUCCCUCGGCUCAACCGAGGAACUGCGCUCCAAACCAUCAAGCUUGAGUAAGACAGAGGUGAGUGGAACUGAUGGUGGAGCGGUGAAAUGCGUUGAUAUCAUCAGGAACACCGGUGGCGAAAGCGGCUCACUGGAUCUUUUCUGACGCUGAGGAACGAAAGCUAGGGUAGCGAACGGGAUUAGAUA
Molecule: ribosomal RNA, 279 nt
Filed under: uncultured bacterium
Lineage: Bacteria
Description: partial 16S ribosomal RNA
Rfam family: Bacterial small subunit ribosomal RNA
Source: RNAcentral